CAGAAAUCACAACUGAAGGUAAUCAAUUCAUAUUACAAAUAUAUUCAUGGCUUUGAAUUAACCUCUAGCCAAAAAGAAAUUAGUUCCACAUGUUUAACAUAAUUGAACAGCAAGUUAAAUUAAACAUGAACAUAGAAUUAAAAGAAGAAAGAAUUCUAAACACUCUAAUAGUUGCAGAUUGCAUAAGCACGGCACUACUCCUCCUCUCCUUCA
Molecule: long non-coding RNA, 213 nt
Filed under: Malus domestica (apple)
Lineage: Eukaryota; Viridiplantae; Streptophyta; Magnoliopsida; Rosales; Rosaceae
Description: long non-coding RNA (MDOM_LNC013208)
Source: RNAcentral